UACGUAGGGUGCGAGCGUUGUCCGGAAUUAUUGGGCGUAAAGAGCUCGUAGGCGGUGUGUCGCGUCGGCCGUGAAAACCUGGGGCUCAACUCUGGGCGUGCGGUCGAUACGGGCAUCACUUGAGUUCGGCAGGGGAGACUGGAAUUCCUGGUGUAGCGGUGAAAUGCGCAGAUAUCAGGAGGAACACCGGUGGCGAAGGCGGGUCUCUGGGCCGAUACUGACGCUGAGGAGCGAAAGUGUGGGGAUCAAACAGG
Molecule: ribosomal RNA, 254 nt
Filed under: uncultured bacterium
Lineage: Bacteria
Description: partial 16S ribosomal RNA
Rfam family: Bacterial small subunit ribosomal RNA
Source: RNAcentral